GGCUGAAACUCGCCUACAUGAAGCUGGAGUUGCUAGUAAUCGCGAAUCAGCAUGUCGCGGUGAAUACGUUCCCGGGCCUUGUACACACCGCCCGUCACACCAUGAGAGUUGGCAAUACCCAACGUACGUGAUCUAACCCGCAAGGGAGGAAGCGUCCUAAGGUAGGGUCAGCGAUUGGGUGAAGUCGUAACAAGGUACC
This 199-nucleotide ribosomal RNA is filed under the name uncultured bacterium. RNAcentral's name for it is "partial 16S ribosomal RNA". It matches the Rfam family "Bacterial small subunit ribosomal RNA", at positions 1303 to 1500 of the family's 1533-position model. The record is from RNAcentral.